Rhea pennata is the source of this 1415-nucleotide long non-coding RNA. RefSeq lists it as uncharacterized. The record is from RefSeq and is a predicted model, not a curated record. Lineage: Eukaryota; Metazoa; Chordata; Aves; Rheiformes; Rheidae. The transcript is spliced from 3 exons.
CGUUGGGGUCGCGCGGCGCGGCGGAUGGCGAGGCGUGAGGCGGCCCGGCCCGGAGCGAGAAGGCCGGGCCGUGGUCUCGUUGCUUCGCCUCGAGUAAUCUCCACAAACUAGAUGGCAGGAGAGCGCAAAUUUUGUGUGAAAACCUCAACCCAGGUGGUCUUGUGAGUAACGAAAGUAAAGAAAAUCGAGACAUAUUCAGAAUUUAACAAGAGCAGUUUUAGCCUGGAAGAACUGCUUAGAGUUACAGGAGCCCUAUCCACCAAGGGACAGCAUGGCUAUAUAUGCAGAAGGUACUGAUAUUAGAUGUUCUGGGAACUGCCCCUAGGACUUCAUACAACAGCAUGCCAGUUUUGACAACUGAUUUACAACCCCACCUGGGGAAGACUGAGAAAGUAAAAUGAAGUCCAGAAAGCAAAACCAUUUUCAGACUGAUUCACUGGAGAAAUACUUAAGUGCUCUGUUAAAAGAGCCUUGUUUUUUCUAGAUGAAACCAUGGUAUUCUAUCCACUUCAGUCUUUGGUAACAAAGACCAACUUUUCUCUGUGUUCCUUCAUGUCAUAAUUGUCGUCAGUAGAAGUGAUCCGCCAGGUAUCAAGGCAUGUUGCUGGUCACAUUCAUCCAUCCACAACACAUCUGAACCCAGACUGAUGUUGAUAUAAGGGCAUUUGUUAGGAAUGCUGGAAAAUUUUAAUGGCACGGAAUACUCAUGGUUUGGGUAUUAAUAUGAUGACGUAAACUGAUAUAUUUGCAGUCAAUGCAGAUGAUAGUUUAAUGGGACUUCUUACCAUAGCUUCUGGUGUGUUUUUUGAGAGAAAGCCCUUCUAAAGUGGGGUGUGUUUUUUUUAUAUCUUGUUUAAAUUUGAGUGUUUGGCCAGAGGCAUGCAUGUUAACAGUAGUGAGAUAGCUAGUUGUGGCCAUGCUGACCUUUUUUUUUUUUUUUCCCCAAAAGAUCUGGGAACUAUUAAAAAGACAAUAAUGGCACAAGAAUAAAUAGAAAUACAUGUUCAAGAUGGGUGAUAUAAGAUGGUCUUCUCUGACAGAACACUGGACUGUGACAUUGAUGGCCCCUGACAGACAUUAGGCAGACAUUCUAAGCCUGACAAUGCAAAGAGUAGUAGUACGAUUUGUAUUUAAAUGACUUUUUAAUGUAAUGUUUGAACUUGCUAGGUUUUUACACCAAGCUGCAUGCACUUAUCCCUAUUUCACACCCUUCUUUGAAGUCCCAGGUCCACCUGUCAUGUAGCCGUUUCAUAAACUUGAAAUUCUAAAGGGAUGAUUAGUUAAGAAUUUGCCUAAAACAUUAUGCUGGAAAGACUUGUUUGUUCUGUGAUAUGUUUACUGUUUUGUAGGUAAGUAAUUUAGUUUUUAAAAAACAAUAUAAUUUUUAUUCAUUGCAAAUAAAUGAUUCUGUGUUA